Molecule: unclassified non-coding RNA, 520 nt
Filed under: uncultured Glomus
Lineage: Eukaryota; Fungi; Glomeromycota; Glomeromycetes; Glomerales; Glomeraceae
Description: SSU rRNA
Rfam family: Eukaryotic small subunit ribosomal RNA
Source: RNAcentral
AGCAGCCGCGGUAAUUCCAGCUCCAAUAGCGUAUAUUAAAGUUGUUGCAGUUAAAAGCUCGUAGUUGAAUUUCGGGAUCAGUUCGUUGGUCGUGCCUUUGGUAUGUACUGGUGUUACUGGUUCCUCCCUUCUGACGAACCGUCAUGUCAUUAAUUUGGUGUGGCGGGAAAUCAGGACUGUUACUUUGAAAAAUUAGAGUGUUUAAAGCAGGCUCGCGCUUGAAUACAUUAGCAUGGAAUAAUGAAAUAGGACGUUCGAUCCUAUUUUGUUGGUUUCUAGGAUUGACGUAAUGAUUAAUAGGGAUAGUUGGGGGCAUUAGUAUUCAAUUGUCAGAGGUGAAAUUCUUGGAUUUAUUGAAGACUAACUACUGCGAAAGCAUUUGCCAAGGAUGUUUUCAUUAAUCAAGAACGAAAGUUAGGGAUCGAAGACGAUCAGAUACCGUCGUAGUCUUAACCAUAAACUAUGCCGACUAGGGAUCGGAUGAUGUUAAUUUUUUAAUGUACUCAUUCGGCGCCUUACG